This 28-nucleotide non-coding RNA is filed under the name Mus musculus (house mouse). Lineage: Eukaryota; Metazoa; Chordata; Mammalia; Rodentia; Muridae. The record is from RNAcentral.
UCAGGAUAUGGUGUUUCACUGGAGCAGU